Ictalurus punctatus (channel catfish) is the source of this 404-nucleotide long non-coding RNA. The record is from Ensembl. NCBI's taxonomy places the organism in Eukaryota, Metazoa, Chordata, Actinopteri, Siluriformes, Ictaluridae.
AUUUACAUAUCCAGUCCUGUUUAUUUCAUGUUUACUCCUACAUUCAUAUUAUUCAUGUUUACUUCUACAUUCAUGUUAUUCAUGUUUACUCCUACAUUCAUGUUUAUUCAUAUUUACUCCUACAUUCAUGUUUAUUCAUGUUUACUUCUACAUUCAUGUUUAUUCAUGUUUACUCCUACAUUCAUGUUUAUUCAUGUUUACUCCUACAUUCAUGUUUAUUCAUGUUUACUUCUACAGUCCUGUUUAUUCAUGUUUACUCCUACAUUCAUGUUUACUUUUACAUUCCUAUUUAUUCAUGUUUACUCCUGCAUUCAUGUUUAUUCAUAUUUACUCCUACAUUCAUGUUUAUUCAUGUUUACUCCUACAUUCAUAUUUAUUCAUGUUUACUUCUACAUUCAUGUUUA